Molecule: ribosomal RNA, 388 nt
Filed under: uncultured eukaryote
Lineage: Eukaryota
Description: SSU rRNA
Rfam family: Eukaryotic small subunit ribosomal RNA
Source: RNAcentral
AGCUCCAAUAGCGUAUAUUAAAGUUGCUGCGGUUAAAAAGCUCGUAGUUGGAUUUCUGUUGAGAACGGUCGGUCCGCAUAUUAGUGCGUGUAUCUGAUUCGGUCUUGGCAUCCUGUUAAGGAACGUAGCUGUGCUUCGCUGCAUGGUGCGGGACUUAACACUUUUACUUUGAGGAAAUUAGAGUGUUCACGGCAGGCGACCGCCCUGAAUAUAUUAGCAUGGAAUAAUAAUAUAGGAUCUUGGGUCUAUUUUGUUGGUUUCUAGAGCUGAGAUAAUGAUAAAUAGGGACAAUUGGGGGGCAUUCGUAUUAACGCGUCAGAGGUGGAAUUCUUGGAUUGCGUUACGACGGUCGACUGCGAAAGCAUUGCCAAGGAUGUUUUCAUUGAUC